RNAcentral lists this long non-coding RNA (900 nucleotides) under Marmota monax (woodchuck). Lineage: Eukaryota; Metazoa; Chordata; Mammalia; Rodentia; Sciuridae. The record is from RNAcentral.
CACCAACAGAAUUGAGCAAUUUUUGUUUUUCUAACUUCUGUACCUCUGGCAAGCCUCACAUGGGCUUCUAUCAGUGUAAUGGCAUCUUCAACUUGAGCCAAGUGCAGGUUAUUAGGUUACAAGUGCCAAAAAUGAUGAGCCGUCUCCACACUUCAUCCAGCAUGAAUAAAAGCAAGAUUGUAAAAUAAUUAUAAUCUCUUGAAGCAGAGCCAGCCCUGCAACCCGAGCCCAUCUUUCUUCAUUAAUUUGUAUACAGUUCUUAUUUUAACAGGACAAACUUUUUUUUCAGAGGGUACUCACAUGGGACUGCUGAACCAGCUGUACAACUUUUAUUUUGAAGAAAAAAAGUUGAGCCUCAGAACAGGCUGUUUUAAAGACAGGGAGGGACUUAUCCUUUCCGAGCUUGACCAGCAUGUGGAAAGAGCGCUCUCAUGGCUGCUGCAAUAACUUAGGGAGCUCCUACCUGGGUGACACUUGGGGUAGGCAGUUUUCUGUUUGUUUUGUUCUGUUUCCGAGGGCCCUGUAUGCUCCUCUGGCCCAUAUCAACGUGACUCUUGGUGGUUUUUGCACACCCUGCUCUGUGGGGGAGUGCCCCAACGUGCCUGUCUUAUGUGGCCUCUAUGGACACACUGCUCAGCUGGCAGAGAGCAGGGAAGUUUUCUCCCAGCACCCAAAAAGAGAAAGAGGAAACCACUUUUUCCUUCUGGCCUCCUUGCAGCACGAUAGAUCAGGAUAAGCUUCCACAUUCCUUCCCUGGAUUUUCUGGAGUGGCUUCCAGGAAGAAGUUCAACUUUCACCUUUAAAUGGAUGACCACGUCACAAUCAGGAAGAAACAUCUCCAAAGACCCAUCUUUAGGUGAGUAAUGUUAGUCUCAGGUGGCUCAAGCGCUCUCAGGAACA